AGCCCAGAGCCUGAAUCAGUGUGUGUGUUAGUGGAAGCGUCUGGAAAGGCGCGCGAUACAGGGUGACAGCCCCGUACACAAAAAUGCACAUGCUGUGAGCUCGAUGAGUAGGGCGGGACACGUGGUAUCCUGUCUGAAUAUGGGGGGACCAUCCUCCAAGGCUAAAUACUCCUGACUGACCGAUAGUGAACCAGUACCGUGAGGGAAAGGCGAAAAGAACCCCGGCGAGGGGAGUGAAAAAGAACCUGAAACCGUGUACGUACAAGCAGUGGGAGCACGCUUAGGCGUGUGACUGCGUACCUUUUGUAUAAUGGGUCAGCGACUUAUAUUCUGUAGCAAGGUUAACCGAAUAGGGGAGCCGAAGGGAAACCGAGUCUUAACUGGGCGUUAAGUUGCAGGGUAUAGACCCGAAACCCGGUGAUCUAGCCAUGGGCAGGUUGAAGGUUGGGUAACACUAACUGGAGGACCGAACCGACUAAUGUUGAAAAAUUAGCGGAUGACUUGUGGCUGGGGGUGAAAGGCCAAUCAAACCGGGAGAUAGCUGGUUCUCCCCGAAAGCUAUUUAGGUAGCGCCUCGUGAAUUCAUCUCCGGGGGUAGAGCACUGUUUCGGCAAGGGGGUCAUCCCGACUUACCAACCCGAUGCAAACUACGAAUACCGGAGAAUGUUAUCACGGGAGACACACGGCGGGUGCUAACGUCCGUCGUGAAGAGGGAAACAACCCAGACCGCCAGCUAAGGUCCCAAAGUCAUGGUUAAGUGGGAAACGAUGUGGGAAGGCCCAGACAGCCAGGAUGUUGGCUUAGAAGCAGCCAUCAUUUAAAGAAAGCGUAAUAGCUCACUGGUCGAGUCGGCCUGCGCGGAAGAUGUAACGGGGCUAAACCAUGCACCGAAGCUGCGGCAGCGACGCUUAUGCGUUGUUGGGUAGGGGAGCGUUCUGUAAGCCUGCGAAGGUGUGCUGUGAGGCAUGCUGGAGGUAUCAGAAGUGCGAAUGCUGACAUAAGUAACGAUAAAGCGGGUGAAAAGCCCGCUCGCCGGAAGACCAAGGGUUCCUGUCCAACGUUAAUCGGGGCAGGGUGAGUCGACCCCUAAGGCGAGGCCGAAAGGCGUAGUCGAUGGGAAACAGGUUAAUAUUCCUGUACUUGGUGUUACUGCGAAGGGGGGACGGAGAAGGCUAUGUUGGCCGGGCGACGGUUGUCCCGGUUUAAGCGUGUAGGCUGGUUUUCCAGGCAAAUCCGGAAAAUCAAGGCUGAGGCGUGAUGACGAGGCACUACGGUGCUGAAGCAACAAAUGCCCUGCUUCCAGGAAAAGCCUCUAAGCAUCAGGUAACAUCAAAUCGUACCCCAAACCGACACAGGUGGUCAGGUAGAGAAUACCAAGGCGCUUGAGAGAACUCGGGUGAAGGAACUAGGCAAAAUGGUGCCGUAACUUCGGGAGAAGG
This 1439-nucleotide ribosomal RNA is filed under the name Escherichia coli. RNAcentral's name for it is "partial 23S ribosomal RNA". It matches the Rfam family "Bacterial large subunit ribosomal RNA", at positions 296 to 1746 of the family's 2925-position model. Lineage: Bacteria; Pseudomonadati; Pseudomonadota; Gammaproteobacteria; Enterobacterales; Enterobacteriaceae. The record is from RNAcentral.